This is a non-coding RNA of Acanthosepion pharaonis, 110 nucleotides long. NCBI's taxonomy places the organism in Eukaryota, Metazoa, Mollusca, Cephalopoda, Sepiida, Sepiidae. The record is from the annotation of a GenBank genome assembly.
GACCAUAUCGCGUUGAAACACCAGUUCCCGUACGAUCACCGAAGUUAAGCAACGUCAAGUCUGGUCAGUAUCUAGAUGGGUGACCACUUGGGGAUACCAGUUGCUGUAAG